GCUUAACGCGAAGAACCUUACCCACACUUGACAUGUCUCUUGGGACUUUCAGAGAUGAUUGUCUUCGGUUCGGCCGGGGAGAACACAGGUGCUGCAUGGCUGUCGUCAGCUCGUGUCGUGAGAUGUUGGGUUAAGUCCCGCAACGAGCGCAACCCUUAUCGUAUGUUGCCAGCAUUUAGUUGGGCACUCAUGCGAGACUGCCGGUGAUAAGCCGGAGGAAGGCGGGGACGACGUCAAGUCAUCAUGGCCCUUACGUGUGGGGCUAGAAACGUGCUACAAUGGUGGUUACAGUGGGCAGCGAGGUCGUGAGGCCAAGCUAAUCCCUAAAAGCCAUCUCAGUUCAGAUUGCAGUCUGCAACUCGACUGCAUGAAGUUGGAAUCGCUAGUAAUCGUGAAUCAGCAUGUCACGGUGAAUACGUUCCCGGGUCUUGUACACACCGAGUCGGUGGG
This 450-nucleotide ribosomal RNA is filed under the name uncultured bacterium. RNAcentral's name for it is "bacterial SSU rRNA". It matches the Rfam family "Bacterial small subunit ribosomal RNA", at positions 954 to 1404 of the family's 1533-position model. The record is from RNAcentral.